Molecule: long non-coding RNA, 859 nt
Filed under: Mytilus galloprovincialis (Mediterranean mussel)
Lineage: Eukaryota; Metazoa; Mollusca; Bivalvia; Mytilida; Mytilidae
Source: RNAcentral
CUGAAAUUUUCAGAUGAAUCGAACAACCCGUUGUUGGGUUGCUGCCCCUGAAUUGAUAAUUUUAAGGAAAUUUUGCUGUUUUUGGUUAUUAUCUUGAAUAUUAUUAUAGAUAGAGAUAAACUGUAAACAGCAAUAAUGUUCAGCAAAGUAAGAUCUACAAAUAAGUCAACAUGACCAAAAUGGUCAGUUGACCACUUUAGGAGUUAUUGUCCUUUAUAGUCAAUUUUUAACCAUUUUUCGUAAAUCUUAGUAAUCUUUUAGAAAAAUCUUCUCCACUGAAACUACUGGGCCAAAUUUAACCACACUUAGCCAUAAUCAUCAUUGGGGUAUCUAGUUAAAAAAAUGUGUCGGGUAACUCGGCCAACAAACCAAGAUGGCGGCCAUGGCUAAAAAUAGAACAUGGGGGUAAAAUGCAGUUUUGGCUUAUAACUCAAAAACCAAAGCAUUAAGAGCAAAUCUGACAGGAAGUAAAAUUGUUGAUCAGGUCACGAUCUAUCUGCCCUGAAAUUUUCAGAUGAAUCGGAUAAUCGGUUGUUAGGUUGCUGCCCCUGAAUUGGUAAUUUUGAGGAAAUUUUGCUGUUUUUUUUGUUAUCUUGAAUAUUAUUAUAGAUAGAGAUAAACUGUAAACAGCAAUAAUGAACAGCAAAGUAAGAACUAAAAAUAAGUCACUAUGACCAAAAUAGUCGAUUGACCCCCUAAGGAGUUAUGGCCCUUCAUAGUAAAUUUUUAACAAUUUUCUUAAAAUUUGAAGAUUUUCAAUAACAUUUUCCACAGAAAGUACUCUUAUAGAUAGAGAUAAUUGUAAGCAGCAAGAAUGUUUAGUAAAGUAAGAUCUACAAACACAUCACCAUCACCAAAA